RNAcentral lists this ribosomal RNA (497 nucleotides) under uncultured bacterium. RNAcentral's name for it is "partial 16S ribosomal RNA". It matches the Rfam family "Bacterial small subunit ribosomal RNA", at positions 28 to 507 of the family's 1533-position model. The record is from RNAcentral.
GAUGAACGCUGGCGGCGUGCCUAAUACAUGCAAGUAGAACGCUGAAGCUUGGUGCUUGCACCGAGCGGAUGAGUUGCGAACGGGUGAGUAACGCGUAGGUAACCUGCCUCUUAGCGGGGGAUAACUAUUGGAAACGAUAGCUAAUACCGCAUAAAAGUCGAUAUCGCAUGAUAUUGAUUUGAAAGGUGCAAAUGCAUCACUAAGAGGUGGACCUGCGUUGUAUUAGCUAGUUGGUGAGGUAACGGCUCACCAAGGCGACGAUACAUAGCCGACCUGAGAGGGUGAUCGGCCACACUGGGACUGAGACACGGCCCAGACGCCUACGGGAGGCAGCAGUAGGGAAUCUUCGGCAAUGGGGGCAACCCUGACCGAGCAACGCCGCGUGAGUGAAGAAGGUUUUCGGAUCGUAAAGCUCUGUUGUAAGAGAAGAACGAGUGUGAGAGUGGAAAGUUCACACUGUGACGGUAACUUACCAGAAAGGGACGGCUAACUACGUG